AAGCUAACCGACUUACUUCAAACAUAAAUACUAUAGGUACUCCGUGCGGGGAAAACAUACUGAGAGGAGCUGAAUGUUUUAAGAGAUGAUCACUGAGUACCAAAAGACCAAAACAAAACAAAAAAGGUGGAAAACAGGGGAAGUUCCAACGAUUACGCCAACUCAUUUGGAGAAGAAAAUUUUCAAAGGAAUUGUCCCGGAGUUGGUGAGAGAAGUGGCCAAAGCGUGGCCUAGUGCUCCCUAGUCAUGGAUGGAAAAAGUCUAGAAAAAGAAUUCGAAGUCAGUAUCGAUGCCAUAGCAUAUAUGAAUGCGUGUACAUACAUAUGUACAUGCAUAUAGACGUUCGCUGUAUUUGAGCUUCUGCCAGCCAGCCCUUUGUCGUCGCAAGUCUCUGUAGCUGUUGGGCAGGCCAUAGAGAAAGUAUAUGGAUAGUCCUACACAUAUAUGUAUAUAUAGAAAACGAAUUAGUUCAAUUUAUAGAUUAAAUAGUUCAGGCAUGCAUUUGGCUAAUUGCUUUCAACCUUAUUAUACCACAUUUAUUUUACUAAAUAUUUUUUAUAGUCUACGACUAGUUUCAGUAUGGUAAACGAUUGUGUGUAAUUAAUAAUAUUAUAAUACAAACACACAUAUAUUUAAUUCCCCAAGUUACAUUUUCUACCAUCACAA
Drosophila obscura is the source of this 666-nucleotide long non-coding RNA. RefSeq lists it as uncharacterized. The record is from RefSeq and is a predicted model, not a curated record. Lineage: Eukaryota; Metazoa; Arthropoda; Insecta; Diptera; Drosophilidae. The transcript has 3 exons.